CCUACGGGAGGCAGCAGUGAGGAAUAUUGGUCAAUGGGCGCGAGCCUGAACCAGCCAAGUCGCGUGAGGGAAGACGGCCCUAUGGGUUGUAAACUUCUUUUGUAGGGGAGUAAAAUACGCCACGUGUGCCUUUUUGAGAGUACUCUACGAAUAAGGAUCGGCUAACUCCGUGCCAGCAGCCGCGGUAAUACGGAGGAUCCGAGCGUUAUCCGGGUUUAUUGGGUUUAAAGGGUGCGUAGGUGGGUAGAUAAGUUAGUGGUGAAAUGUUGGGGCUCAACCCUCAAACAGCCUUUGAUACUGUCAGUCUUGAGUGAAGUAGAGGUAGGCGGAAUGCGUGGUGUAGCGGUGAAAUGCAUAGAUAUCACGCAGAACUCCGAUUGCGAAGGCAGCUUACCAGCCUGCAACUGACGUUGAUGCACGAAAGUGUGGGUAUCAAACAGGAUUAGAUACCCGAGUAGUC
Molecule: ribosomal RNA, 460 nt
Filed under: uncultured bacterium
Lineage: Bacteria
Description: partial 16S ribosomal RNA
Rfam family: Bacterial small subunit ribosomal RNA
Source: RNAcentral